RNAcentral lists this ribosomal RNA (565 nucleotides) under Lodderomyces parapsilosis. RNAcentral describes it as "eukaryotic LSU rRNA". It matches the Rfam family "Eukaryotic large subunit ribosomal RNA", at positions 79 to 659 of the family's 3401-position model. Lineage: Eukaryota; Fungi; Ascomycota; Pichiomycetes; Serinales; Debaryomycetaceae. The record is from RNAcentral.
CUUAGUAGCGGCGAGUGAAGCGGCAAAAGCUCAAAUUUGAAAUCUGGCACUUUCAGUGUCCGAGUUGUAAUUUGAAGAAGGUAUCUUUGGGUCUGGCUCUUGUCUAUGUUUCUUGGAACAGAACGUCACAGAGGGUGAGAAUCCCUGUGCGAUGAGAUGUCCCAGACCUAUGUAAAGUUCCUUCGAAGAGUCGAGUUGUUUGGGAAUGCAGCUCUAAGUGGGUGGUAAAUUCCAUCUAAAGCUAAAUAUUGGCGAGAGACCGAUAGCGAACAAGUACAGUGAUGGAAAGAUGAAAAGAACUUUGAAAAGAGAGUGAAAAAGUACGUGAAAUUGUUGAAAGGGAAGGGCUUGAGAUCAGACUUGGUAUUUUGUAUGUUACUCUCUCGGGGGUGGCCUCUACAGUUUACCGGGCCAGCAUCAGUUUGAGCGGUAGGAUAAGUGCAAAGAAAUGUGGCACUGCUUCGGUAGUGUGUUAUAGUCUUUGUCGAUACUGCCAGCUUAGACUGAGGACUGCGGCUUCGGCCUAGGAUGUUGGCAUAAUGAUCUUAAGUCGCCCGUCUUGAAA